CGGAUCGGAGUCUGCAACCCGACUCCGUGAAGCUGGAUUCGCUAGUAAUCGCGCAUCAGCCAUGGCGCGGUGAAUACGUUCCCGGGCCUUGUACACACCGCCCGUCAAGCCAUGGGAGCCGGGGGUGCUUGAAGUGCGUCGCCGCGAGGCGCGCCCUAGAGCAAAACCGGUGACUGGGGCUAAGUCGUAACAAGGUAGC
RNAcentral lists this ribosomal RNA (199 nucleotides) under uncultured bacterium. Its description in RNAcentral is "partial 16S ribosomal RNA". It matches the Rfam family "Bacterial small subunit ribosomal RNA", at positions 1294 to 1500 of the family's 1533-position model. The record is from RNAcentral.